This 106-nucleotide non-coding RNA is filed under the name Citrobacter europaeus. RNAcentral describes it as "TPP riboswitch (THI element)". It matches the Rfam family "TPP riboswitch aptamer (THI element)", at positions 9 to 90 of the family's 105-position model. Rfam says of the family: Vitamin B(1) in its active form thiamin pyrophosphate (TPP) is an essential coenzyme that is synthesised by coupling of pyrimidine and thiazole moieties in bacteria. The previously detected thiamin-regulatory element, thi box was extended, resulting in a new, highly conserved RNA secondary structure, the THI element, which is widely distributed in eubacteria and also occurs in some archaea. Analysis of operon structures identified a large number of new candidate thiamin-regulated genes, mostly transporters, in various prokaryotic organisms. The record is from RNAcentral. Lineage: Bacteria; Pseudomonadati; Pseudomonadota; Gammaproteobacteria; Enterobacterales; Enterobacteriaceae.
AACGGGGUGCUAAAUAAAAAACAUACACAAAAUCAUUCGAUCUGCGUAUGGGCUGAGAGAUACCCGUCGAACCUGAUCCGGAUAAUGCCGGCGAAGGGAUUUGAGU